This is a long non-coding RNA of Octopus sinensis (East Asian common octopus), 97 nucleotides long. RefSeq lists it as uncharacterized. NCBI's taxonomy places the organism in Eukaryota, Metazoa, Mollusca, Cephalopoda, Octopoda, Octopodidae. The record is from RefSeq and is a predicted model, not a curated record. The transcript is spliced from 3 exons.
CUCUAAUCAAAUCAACAGGAGCAUGGGGCACCCGGCAUCAGGUGUCAAAAGGAUUGGAGAGCAACAUGAGAUGAAGUGUUUUGCUCAAGAACACAAU